CACGUAGGGGGCAAGCGUUGUCCGGAUUCAUUGGGCGUAAAGAGCGCGCAGGCGGUCGUUCAAGUCGCGUGUGAAAGCCCCCGGCUCAACUGGGGAGGGUCACGCGAUACUGAUCGACUCGAAGGCAGGAGAGGGUAGUGGAAUUCCCGGUGUAGUGGUGAAAUGCGUAGAUAUCGGGAGGAACAUCAGUGGCGAAGGCGGCUACCUGGCCCAAUACUGACACUCAGGUGCGACAGCGUGGGGAGCAAACAGG
This 253-nucleotide ribosomal RNA is filed under the name uncultured bacterium. RNAcentral describes it as "partial 16S ribosomal RNA". It matches the Rfam family "Bacterial small subunit ribosomal RNA", at positions 524 to 776 of the family's 1533-position model. The record is from RNAcentral.